GGGCGAGUGGCGGAAUAGGCAUACGCGACAGACUUAAAAUCUGUUGAGAGUUAAAUCUCGUGUGGGUUCGAGUCCCACCUCGCCCACCA
This 89-nucleotide transfer RNA is filed under the name candidate division WWE3 bacterium. RNAcentral describes it as "tRNA-Leu". It matches the Rfam family "tRNA". From Rfam's summary of the family: Transfer RNA (tRNA) molecules are approximately 80 nucleotides in length. Their secondary structure includes four short double-helical elements and three loops (D, anti-codon, and T loops). Lineage: Bacteria; candidate division WWE3. The record is from RNAcentral.